This 129-nucleotide transfer-messenger RNA is filed under the name Sedimentibacter sp. RNAcentral describes it as "partial transfer-messenger RNA". It matches the Rfam family "transfer-messenger RNA", at positions 236 to 374 of the family's 374-position model. Rfam says of the family: Bacterial tmRNA, also known as 10Sa RNA or SsrA, is named for its dual tRNA and mRNA-like properties. Its role is to liberate the mRNA from a stalled ribosome. The record is from RNAcentral. Lineage: Bacteria; Bacillati; Bacillota; Tissierellia.
CGGAGAUAGCAAAGAUUACAGCUUGGCCAUAGGCGGUAAUCGGAGCGAAACUCAAAUUAUGGUCUGCACUCGGAGAAAGUCUUGUGGAAAUAUUUUCGGACGUGGGUUCGACUCCCACCGCCUCCAUUA